RNAcentral lists this long non-coding RNA (221 nucleotides) under Vulpes vulpes (red fox). Its description in RNAcentral is "lncRNA (ENSVVUG00000028773.1)". The record is from RNAcentral. Lineage: Eukaryota; Metazoa; Chordata; Mammalia; Carnivora; Canidae.
GGCCUGGAGCCAUGCACUCAGGGAGCUUUCAGGAAUACCAGAUGCAGGAAUUCUGCAGAAGAGCAGGCUCAGCUACCUGGAUCCCUGAGAGGCCCAUAGGAGCAUACAGUCUAGCGAUGGAAGCAGCAGGCAUGGAGCAGGAGCAUAGCUUGGCCCUGGCUCAGAUGAUCAAUGACCAGACAGGUAUCCUGCACGCCCAUCUCUUGGACACAACUUUAUGG